GGUAUAGACCCGAAACCCGGUGAUCUAGCCAUGGGCAGGUUGAAGGUUGGGUAACACUAACUGGAGGACCGAACCGACUAAUGUUGAAAAAUUAGCGGAUGACUUGUGGCUGGGGGUGAAAGGCCAAUCAAACCGGGAGAUAGCUGGUUCUCCCCGAAAGCUAUUUAGGUAGCGCCUCGUGAAUUCAUCUUCGGGGGGUAGAGCACUGUUUCGGCUAGGGGGUCAUCCCGACUUACCAACCGAUGCAAACUACGAAUACCGAAGAAUGUUAUCACGGGAGACACACGGCGGGUGCUAACGUCCGUCGUGAAGAGGGAAACAACCCAGACCGCCAGCUAAGGUCCCAAAGUCAUGGUUAAGUGGGAAACGAUGUGGGAAGGCACAGACAGCCAGGAUGUUGGCUUAGAAGCAGCCAUCAUUAAAGAAAGCGUAAUAGCUCACUGGUCGAGUCGGCCUGCGCGGAAGAUGUAACGGGGCUAAACCAUGCACCG
RNAcentral lists this ribosomal RNA (491 nucleotides) under Klebsiella pneumoniae. RNAcentral describes it as "bacterial LSU rRNA". It matches the Rfam family "Bacterial large subunit ribosomal RNA", at positions 706 to 1196 of the family's 2925-position model. The record is from RNAcentral. Lineage: Bacteria; Pseudomonadati; Pseudomonadota; Gammaproteobacteria; Enterobacterales; Enterobacteriaceae.